This 1210-nucleotide ribosomal RNA is filed under the name Hexelasma velutinum. Its description in RNAcentral is "eukaryotic LSU rRNA". It matches the Rfam family "Eukaryotic large subunit ribosomal RNA", at positions 604 to 1593 of the family's 3401-position model. Lineage: Eukaryota; Metazoa; Arthropoda; Thecostraca; Balanomorpha; Bathylasmatidae. The record is from RNAcentral.
GUCGGGCCGGCGCCGUCCUCGGGCGUGUGCCGGUGCUCCGUGGAAUGUGCGCUUCACGCGGCCACGGCCGGCCUGGUCUGCGGUGCAAUGCGGCCGAUUGGCGAGCGACCGGGCGACGGCCAGCGCAAAUCUCGAUAUAUAUUCUAUAUCGGCUCGGCCUUUGCGUCGUCACGUGCGGCCCGUCUUGAAACACGGACCAAGGAGUCUAACAUGUGAGCGAGCGAUUGAGAUUGUCUAAUCUCAGACGCGCAAUGAAAGUGAAGUGUCGUCUGACGGCACGAGCGGAGAUCCGCCGUCACUCGUGGCGGCGGCGCAUCCGCGGGCCACGCCAUCGGCUGGCUUGCUCCUCGGAGCACUGCUGAGGCGUGGACCUAGAGCCCACACGUUGGGACCCGAAAGAUGGUGAACUAUGCCUGGCCAGGAUGAAGCCAGAGGAAACUCUGGUGGAGGUCCGCCGCGAUUCUGACGUGCAAAUCGAUCGUCUGAGCUGGGUAUAGGGGCGAAAGACCAAUCGAACCAUCUAGUAGCUGGUUCCGCCCGAAGUUUCCCUCAGGAUAGCUGGCGCUCGUGUGAUACGGAGUUUCAUCCGGUAAAGCGAAUGAUCAGAGGAGCUGGGCUCCUUGCGAGCUCAACCUAUUCUCAAACUUUCAAUGGGUGAGACGUCUCGCUGGCUUCACUGCAGCGACGACUCUGAAUCCGAGUGCCCAGUGGGCCACUUUUGGUAAGCAGAACUGGCGAUGCGGGAUGAACCGCAUGUCGAGUUAAGGUGCCUAAGCGGACGCAAAUCAGACACCAUGAAAGGUGUUGAUUGCUCACGACAGCAGGACGGUGGCCAUGGAAGUCGGCACCCGCUAAGGAGUGUGUAACAACUCACCUGCCGAAGCAAUCAGCCCUGAAAAUGGAUGGCGCUAAAGCGUUCCACCGAUACUCGACCGUCGUCGGCAGGCGACGUGCAUGCCACGUCUCAAGCCACGACGAGUAGGGCGGCGCGGUGGUGAGCGUUGAAGGCGUAGCCGCGAGGCUAGCUGGAGCCGCCAUCGGUGCAGAUCUUGGUGGUAGUAGCAAAUACACAAGCAAGAUCCUUGUGGACCGAUGUGGAGAAGGGUUCCGCGCGAACAGUACUUGGACGUGGGUGAGUCGGCCCUAAGCCAACGGGUAAUUCCCGCAUCCCGUGUUUGUCGCGUUACUGAAUCGAGCAACCUGGGUUGAU